RNAcentral lists this ribosomal RNA (442 nucleotides) under uncultured bacterium. RNAcentral's name for it is "partial 16S ribosomal RNA". It matches the Rfam family "Bacterial small subunit ribosomal RNA", at positions 338 to 795 of the family's 1533-position model. The record is from RNAcentral.
CCUACGGGUGGCAGCAGUGGGGGAUAUUGCACAAUGGGGGAAACCCUGAUGCAGCGACGCCGCGUGGGCGAAGAAGUAUUUCGGUAUGUAAAGCCCUAUCAGCAGGGAAGAAGAAAUGACGGUACCUGAGUAAGAAGCACCGGCUAAAUACGUGCCAGCAGCCGCGGUAAUACGUAUGGUGCAAGCGUUAUCCGGAUUUACUGGGUGUAAAGGGAGCGUAGACGGCAGCGCAAGUCCGAAGUGAAAGCCCGGGGCCCAACCCCGGGACUGCUUUGGAAACUGUGAAGCUGGAGUGCGGGAGGGGCAGGCGGAAUUGCUGGUGUAGCGGUGAAAUGCGUAGAUAUCAGGAGGAACACCGGCGGCGAAGGCGGCCUGCUGGACCGUAACUGACGUUGAGGCUCGAAAGCGUGGGGAGCAAACAGGAUUAGAUACCCCGGUAGUC